CAGCAGCCACGGUAAAACGUAGGUGGCGAGCGUUGUCCGGAUUUAUUGGGCGUAAAGGGCUCGCAGGCGGUUUCUUAAGUCUGAAGUUAAAGGCUGUGGCUUAACCAUAGUACGCUUUGGAAACUGUUUAACUUGAGUGCAAGAGGGGAGAGUGGAAUUCCGUGUGUAGCGGUGAAAUGCGUAGAGAUGUGGAGGAACACCAGUGGCGAAGGCGACUCUCUGGUCUGUAACUGACGCUGAGGAGCGAAAGCGUGGGGAGCGAACAGGAUUAGAUACCCGCGUAGUCCCUGUCUCUUAUACA
This 301-nucleotide ribosomal RNA is filed under the name uncultured bacterium. Its description in RNAcentral is "partial 16S ribosomal RNA". It matches the Rfam family "Bacterial small subunit ribosomal RNA", at positions 509 to 808 of the family's 1533-position model. The record is from RNAcentral.